GAUGAACGCUGACAGAAUGCUUAACACAUGCAAGUCGACUUGAAUUUGGGUUUUUAACUUCGGUUUGGGUGGCGGACGGGUGAGUAACGCGUAAAGAACUUGCCUCACAGCUAGGGACAACAUUUGGAAACGAAUGCUAAUACCUAAUAUUAUGAUAAUAGGGCAUCCUAUAAUUAUGAAAGCUAUAAGCGCUGUGAGAGAGCUUUGCGUCCCAUUAGCUAGUUGGAGAGGUAACGGCUCACCAAGGCGAUGAUGGGUAGCCGGCCUGAGAGGGUGAUCGGCCACAAGGGGAAUGAGAAACGGCCCUUACACCAACGGGAGGCAGCAGUGGGGAAGAUUGGACAAUGGACCGAGAGUCUGAUCCAGCAAUUCUGUGUGCACGAUGAAGUUUUUCGGAAUGGAAAGUGCUUUCAGUUGGGAAGAAACAAAUGACGGUACCAACAGAAGAAGUGACGGCUAAAUACGUG
This 467-nucleotide ribosomal RNA is filed under the name uncultured bacterium. Its description in RNAcentral is "partial 16S ribosomal RNA". It matches the Rfam family "Bacterial small subunit ribosomal RNA", at positions 28 to 507 of the family's 1533-position model. The record is from RNAcentral.